Molecule: small RNA, 67 nt
Filed under: Gracilibacillus ureilyticus
Lineage: Bacteria; Bacillati; Bacillota; Bacilli; Caryophanales; Bacillaceae
Description: Bacillaceae-1 RNA
Rfam family: Bacillaceae-1 RNA
Source: Rfam by way of RNAcentral
AAGAAAGGUUUACAGGCUAAUUUCGCCAAGUCCUGUGGCAACGCCUGCAUGACCUUCCUCCAGAAGG